Molecule: long non-coding RNA, 1821 nt
Organism: Alligator mississippiensis (American alligator)
Lineage: Eukaryota; Metazoa; Chordata; Crocodylia; Alligatoridae
Exons: 2
Source: RefSeq, a predicted model, not a curated record
CUUCAGCGCCAGCUUUCUGCUUAGUUGACGGUUGCUGCUGUUUCCUGCCCGUGUUUAUUGGCACGGGAAGGAUGUCGGCAGAAGGGAUAGCAGCCAGGCAUUUCAGUAACAUGUACACUAUGAAAGAAAGAACCUCGGAGCAAAGCCUGGAGUGCAUCACACUCACUAAGCCCUAGGUGACUGGUAGAGGGUGCACAAGGGUGCACAUGCCCUCCCCCCCACAGGUGCCCUGCCUGAGGGCCAGCACCAACUCUUGGCGGGGCUGGUGCCCCCGAGCUGUUGGCAGCUUCUGCGGGUGCCCCCCCAGGUUCAGGAGGCACCAGUCACUCAUGCACUAAACUUCUGUUGCUGCUGUAGAAAGCAGCUGCAGGAACUAAUUGAGGUCUGGAAAACCUGCCUUAUAAUCAAAUUCUUUAGAGAAGGAUAAGGGGUGACUUGACCACAGACUACAAGGACCUCCGUGGAAAGAUUUCUAAUAGCAUUAGACUACUUGAUCUGUCAGGCAGAGGUAUUCACUACCAGUGACUAGAAGCUAGGCAAAUUCUGAGUACAAACAGAUUUUUAACUGUACCACUGAAGUGGUUGAACCACUGAAGAAAGGUAGUUAAGGAUGUGGGGGAUUAUUUGCUAUCUGCAGCAUACACCAGGGACUUGUACACCAGGCCACAAAUCGGAUACUCCUGGCUUUGGUGGAUAUUAUUGUUAGGGUGACAAUAUUUGAAUCUUAGAGAGUGCUGGAUUUGCAGCUGAAUACAAGGCAUGACCUGUGGCCUAGCAGACCUACAGAAUGAUAGCUAAGCCAGCCAUUUGCUUAUACUAAGUAACCAUCUAAACUGUGUCAACCAUUUUUCUGGAAAAAGCAGCAGUUAAGCCUGUGUGCUGUGAACCAGCUAUAGCAAGGAAUGAGAUAAGAUAUGGAGGCCCAUAAAAGGUGGAAGAUGGUACAAUCUGAGACAAAAACAGACUGGAAUGUGAAAAAAAAAAGUACUUAGUAACAGAAUCCAAGAUGAACAUAUGCAAAAAGGUGAAUGGUGAUUGGUGAAGAAACCUCCAGAAGUUUCCAGGUUUUGGUCAAAGUCCACCCAUUGAAGAAGAGAAGUCAAGGUCAUGCGCUCGUAGCAAAAAGGCAUGUAAAUGAAUGAAAUGCAUAGACAAUUCCAUGCUAAUGAAGCAAACAGUAAACAGAGGCAGAGCUUGAGAUAGGAGAAAUGGGUGGAACAUAAGGGAGGGUCAAGGGUAGAAUAAAUGUUAAUGAGUAAAAACCAAAGUGUAUAAAUGUGGGAAAAAACUAUCGUUCACUGCAUUUCCCCAGUUUGUUGGGUUUUUUGGAGCUAGUCCGAAGCUGUCUCCAUUCUGAAUAAAGCUGUUGUGAGCAAUGUGUGCUGGUGUUUGCUCCCUGCUUGUUCUGGCUAAUGAGUACCAGGAUCCAUGAGCAAUUGCAUCGUCGUGUCCCUAGUCUUUGGGCACCGCGUGGAAUCGGGGUCUAAUAUCUUGGCGUAGUUGGCAGGAUUUGACACACAUUUGCAGGGGACUGAUCAUUCCAAUCCCACCAGGGAUGAAAUCAUAACUGAAGAAGUUUGCUAAGUACAAGAAGAAAUCAAGCUUAACUGUGUUAUGUGUAGUGAUUGUGUUUUACUAAGUUUGUAUAAUGCUAUUGUUAUAAGUAAUUGUAAUGUCAACUAUGCUAGACUAUAAAAUGUAAAGCAAAAAUUUUGAUAAGUUAUGACAUACCUGAAGAGUGGCUACAAAAAUGAUAUGUUGUGCAGAGCAUCACCUCCAUUACCUGGCAGAGUUCAGCCAUGUUAAAGAUCAAGAAGGCUA